GGGGAAUAUUGGACAAUGGGCGAAAGCCUGAUCCAGCCAUGCCGCGUGAGUGAUGAAGGCCUUAGGGUUGUAAAGCUCUUUUGCCAGGGAAGAUAAUGACGGUACCUGGAGAAUAAGACACGGCUAACUUCGUGCCAGCAGCCGCGGUAAUACGAAGGUGUCUAGCGUUGUUCGGAAUCACUGGGCGUAAAGCGCGCGCAGGCGGACUAUCAAGUCAGGGGUGAAAGCCUGAGGCUCAACCUCAGAAUUGCCUUUGAAACUGAUAGUCUAGAGUGUGUGAGGGGGUAGCGGAAUUCCAAAUGUAGAGGUGAAAUUCGUAGAUAUUUGGAGGAACACCGGUGGCGAAGGCGGCUACCUGGCACACAACUGACGCUGAGGCGCGAAAGCGUGGGGAUCAAAC
RNAcentral lists this ribosomal RNA (400 nucleotides) under uncultured bacterium. RNAcentral describes it as "bacterial SSU rRNA". It matches the Rfam family "Bacterial small subunit ribosomal RNA", at positions 356 to 773 of the family's 1533-position model. The record is from RNAcentral.